AAAGAGCACGCAGACAAUGGGGAGAGACAGAGAAACGUAAGCAGGCUCCACACUCAGCGCAGAGCUCAACGUGGGGAUCAAUCCCAUGUCUCUGGGAUCACGACCUGAGCCAAAAUCACGAGUCGGACCCUCAACCGACUGAGCCACCUGGGCACCCCUUGAGAGACUACUUUGGAAGCCAGAUCAUGGACGACCAAGUUCACUGCCUCAACUGCCCCAAACCAAAGUGCCCUUUGUGGCCACCGUAGUCAGGGGAAAGGACUAGUGCCAGAGGAAUCAUUUGCGUAUUAUGACCACGUUCUCCUCCAGUCCUCCCGGGACCUGAUGGGGGUGUGCUGACCUUGGCUCCCAUUCAUGCUGCCAGCUGUGAUGGCUCCACCAUGGGCAUGUGUGCCCGCCACGGUUAUGCCUUCUGUAUUCUGUGCCAACCGACCCCCCCUUAGAGCCCCUCCACAGGAGAUGACCGUAGGAUGUUGGGAUGUGUGAACUUGACAAACUAGAAAAAAAAAGCCUCUUCAUUUUAAUGACGUUUAUCAGCGCAGAGCAAGAACUCAGGAAGGUGGUUCUAGACAAAGGGAGAUGGAGAAAGACGAAGAGGACCAAGAGGAACAGGAGGAGAAGGAGGAGAGUAAAAACCUGGAAACUAACCCAAGUCCCCAGCACCCGCCCAGCGCAGAAACACGUGCGCUUUUGCAGAGGACCUACAGCUAGAGAGGGGACAGCGGAGCUUGACAGGCAGAGGUUGGCAAGCCCCACAGUCCAGGGCCAAAGGAAGGGCCGCGGGCAGUGCAAGCAUUCUUGGAUGCACAAAACUGGGGGCAGGGUUCUACACUUGUACUACCAACCUGAAUUCCUUACUACCAAUCUAGAAUAUUAGUUGCUUUCGCAAGAGACGGGUUGGGUUUUUUACAGCGUGGAUCUGAGCACCCACGGUGUUCUGCAAACCUUGCCUGAAGCUCCCGCUCCUGAUCGCCCAGAGAAGCUUGGUGGGCUCCGCUUUCAGCGCGUUAUUGCAAAACCCCAGAGCAAGCAGCACCCCCCCCCCCCACCUAGCUAAUCGUUUCGUCUGAAUCGCCAGCCCGGCUCGUGGACUCUGGGUGCGAAGGGAGCCGAACCAGAGAGUCCCGUCCAUUAACUACCGACUUCUCGGCGGGGAGAGGCGCGCUCAGAGCCCACACGGCGAGGGGGACCACCGUCGCUUCCGUGCUGGGGCUGCCAGGGGCCCCGCGCUUUCUCCAGCCCUCCCUCUGAGUCCCUCGCCCUGGAGGAGCUUAGGGCGACAGCCCUGCACCGACUUCGGUGCAGCGACAGCCCGGCGGUGAGACGUUCUCGCCACACUUCUCCCAGGGCUCUGGGGGCUGGUGGGAGGUUUCGUG
This 1376-nucleotide long non-coding RNA is filed under the name Felis catus (domestic cat). Its description in RNAcentral is "lncRNA (ENSFCAG00000049536.1)". Lineage: Eukaryota; Metazoa; Chordata; Mammalia; Carnivora; Felidae. The record is from RNAcentral.